Molecule: ribosomal RNA, 433 nt
Filed under: uncultured bacterium
Lineage: Bacteria
Description: partial 16S ribosomal RNA
Rfam family: Bacterial small subunit ribosomal RNA
Source: RNAcentral
AACGAACGCUGGCGGCAUGCCUAACACAUGCAAGUCGAACGAGCCCUUCAGGUCUAGUGGCCCACGGGUUCGUAACGCGAGGGAACCUGCACUUAGGUUCGGAAUAACUCCCCGAAAGGGGUAACAAUACCGGAUAAUGUCUUCGGACGAAAGAUUUAUUGCCUUUGUAUGGGCGCUCGUUGGAUUAGCUAGUUGGUAGGGUUAAAGCCUACUACGGCGACCAUCCAUAGCUGGUCUGAGAGGAUGAUCAGCCACACUGGGACGGAGACCCGGCCCAGACUCCUACGGGAGGCAGCAGUGGGGAAUAUUGGACAACGGGCGAAAUCCUGAUCCAGCAAUGCCGCGUGAGUGAUGUAGGUCUUAGGGUUGUAAAGCUCUUUUACCCGGGAUGAUAAUGACAGUACCGGGAGAAUAAGCUCCGGCUAACUCCGUG